This 342-nucleotide transfer-messenger RNA is filed under the name fish gut metagenome. It matches the Rfam family "transfer-messenger RNA". From Rfam's summary of the family: Bacterial tmRNA, also known as 10Sa RNA or SsrA, is named for its dual tRNA and mRNA-like properties. Its role is to liberate the mRNA from a stalled ribosome. The record is from RNAcentral.
GGGGGUGCUCGGUUUCGACAGUUAUCUGUGGGUAUAGGACGCAUGUCUUGGUUCAAGGUCCAAGUUAAAAACUUGACAAAUUUAAAAGCUGAAGAUAAUUUAGCACUAGCUGCCUAGGCAGCUACAUCUUCGCCGUCACCUGCCUGUGGUUACGGUAGCGGGUGUAAAAUGAUACAGGCAAGACUGGUUGUAUGUCUCUACCGACCAGUUUAAACAAAGAGGCUUUGCUUGAAUUGACUACGUCUGUAUAGAUGAGGAUAGCGAGAAAUAAGUACAGACUAAACAUGUAGUGGUCUAUAUUGUAGGGUAUCUGGACAGGAGUUCGAUUCUCCUCACCUCCAU